Molecule: long non-coding RNA, 344 nt
Filed under: Bos taurus (domestic cattle)
Lineage: Eukaryota; Metazoa; Chordata; Mammalia; Artiodactyla; Bovidae
Description: long non-coding RNA NONBTAT006362
Source: RNAcentral
GUAUAUAGGUAUGUUAAAUAUAUGACAAUUUACUUUCAAAAGUACCAAAAAGCAGAACUUUUAAAAUCAGUGCCAAAUAAAAUCAGUGUGGUACUUAUUUCUAGAACAUUAUCUAUCUCUAGAAACGUUUGGUAGAAGUUGCAUUAAUUGAUGUAAUAAGUGAGAGUCUCAUCAGUAUUUUGGGAAGUUUAACAUUUUCACAUAUCAGUGAGAUCCCACAUACUAUUUUUGUUUUUAAUUGUAUAAUACUAUUAAACUGCACUCACACUGAGGCACUUUAUAUGAAUACAGUAUUUUAGUUAAGGUGAGUCAAGGGAACGAUAUACCAAUUAUCUAGGGGCUAU